GUUUGUUGUUGGAUGAUCGCUCGAUGAGGUUUUAAUUAUCUCAUAGGGAGGAAAGUCCGAACACGUACUUUAAUUUUUUAAAGUAACCGGGUAGCAGGUAAUACCUGUCGCGCGCAAGCGCCGAGGUGCGAACAGAGACGCCUAGAGGUGAAAACUAAAAGGCACCCCACCCGCCUGACGGCGGGUGGGGUGAGCUCUAUCGAAAGGUAGAAGUUGAAACGGCCAAAUCCUUACUCACGUGCAAGAUCGUAUUCUCAAUGCUUGGCAUUGAGUCUGUAUCGCUCGAGGUGAUUGGUGACAAUCAUCCCAGAUAAAUGGUCAUCCCCUGUGGAAUAAAGAGUUUAAAGUUUAGAGGUAUAACAGAUUCAGGACAACUGUCAGUGUCUGUGAAUAUUUUGAACUUUUUAUUCCACAGGGACAGAAUUCGGCUUAUAGACAACAAACUAAA
RNAcentral lists this RNase P RNA (448 nucleotides) under Candidatus Vogelbacteria bacterium RIFOXYD1_FULL_44_32. Its description in RNAcentral is "RNase P RNA component class A". It matches the Rfam family "Bacterial RNase P class A". Rfam says of the family: Ribonuclease P (RNase P) is a ubiquitous endoribonuclease, found in archaea, bacteria and eukarya as well as chloroplasts and mitochondria. Lineage: Bacteria; Candidatus Vogeliibacteriota. The record is from RNAcentral.